UACGAGGGGUGCAAACGUUAUUCGGAAUCACUGGGCGUAAAGAGCGUGUAGGCGGCUUGUUAAGUUGGUUGUUAAAUCUCUCGGCCCAACCGAGAAUAGGCGAUCAAAACUGGCGAGCUCGAGUGCAAGAGAGAGAAGUGGAAUUCUCGGAGUAGCGGUAAAAUGCGUAGAUCUCGAGAGGAACACCGGUUGCGAAGGCGGCUUCUGGGCUUGUAACUGACGCUAAGACGCGAAAGCGUGGGGAGCAAACAGG
This 253-nucleotide ribosomal RNA is filed under the name uncultured bacterium. RNAcentral describes it as "partial 16S ribosomal RNA". It matches the Rfam family "Bacterial small subunit ribosomal RNA", at positions 524 to 776 of the family's 1533-position model. The record is from RNAcentral.